RNAcentral lists this unclassified non-coding RNA (342 nucleotides) under soil metagenome. RNAcentral describes it as "partial contains 5.8S ribosomal RNA, internal transcribed spacer 2, and large subunit ribosomal RNA". The stretch from base 2 to 119 matches the Rfam family "5.8S ribosomal RNA", at positions 37 to 154 of the family's 154-position model. The record is from RNAcentral.
GUGAAGAACGUAGUGAAAUGCGAUAAGUAAUGUGAAUUGCAGAAUUCAGUGAAUCAUCGAAUCUUUGAACGCACAUUGCGCCCGCUAGUAUUCUGGCGGGCAUGCCUGUCCGAGCGUCAUUUCAACCCUCAAGCCCCCGGGCUUGGUGUUGGGGAUCGGCGAGCCUCCGCGCCCGCCGUCCCCUAAAUCUAGUGGCGGUCUCGCUGUAGCUUCCUCUGCGUAGUAGCACACCUCGCACUGGGAAACAGCGCGGCCACGCCGUUAAACCCCCAACUUCUGAACGUUUGACCUCGGAUCAGGUAGGAAUACCCGCUGAACUUAAGCAUAUCAAUAAGCGGAGGA